This 498-nucleotide ribosomal RNA is filed under the name uncultured bacterium. RNAcentral's name for it is "bacterial SSU rRNA". It matches the Rfam family "Bacterial small subunit ribosomal RNA", at positions 31 to 522 of the family's 1533-position model. The record is from RNAcentral.
CAGGGACGUUGCAGCUGCGCCUUACAUGCAGUCGAACUGGCAGCAUGGACUUCGGUCUGGUGGCGAGUGGCGAACGGGUGACUAAUACAUCCGGCCGUGCCUAAUACUGGGGGAUAACUACUCCUAAGAGUGGCUAAUACCGCAUGAGAUCUACGGAUGAAAGCAGGGGAUCGCAAGACCUUGUGCUACUAGAGCGGCCGAUGGCCUAUUAGGUAGUUGGUGGGAUAAAAACUUACCAAACCAACCAUCUGUAUCUGGUCUGAAAGGACGAUCAGCCACACUGGGACUGAAACACGGCCCAGACUCCUACGGCAGGCAGCAGUGGGGAAUUUUGGACAAUGGGCGAGAGCCUGAUCCUGUGAUGCCACGUGCAGGAUGAUGGCCAUCGGGUUGUAAACUGCUUUUGUACAGAUCGAUGAGCUUCGGGUUAAUACCCUGGACUCUUGACUGUACCGUAACAAUAAGCACAGGCUAACUACAUGCCCGCCCCCCGCGGUA